GUACUGAUGAAGAGUCCCAAACUAGGGCGAAACAGUUGUCCAGUAC
Trichobilharzia regenti is the source of this 46-nucleotide non-coding RNA. The record is from Rfam. Lineage: Eukaryota; Metazoa; Platyhelminthes; Trematoda; Strigeidida; Schistosomatidae.